UGUAAUAAUAAUUAAAUAAAUCCCACCCUGUUCUAAGCCCAAAUAACUUUCCUCACACCUUGCUGUCAGUGGUGGCAGCAGUGGUGUAUCCUGGUUUUGUGCUGCCCUAGGCAUGACAACUCAGGCACCCCCACCCCAUCUUCUAAAUACACAUACACACUCACUGACAGACACAUAUACACUCAGUGUCAGACAAACACUUUCACUGACAGACACACAUACACUCACCAACAGACACAUACACACACACUCACCAACAGACACAUACACACACA
Pelobates cultripes (western spadefoot toad) is the source of this 275-nucleotide non-coding RNA. NCBI's taxonomy places the organism in Eukaryota, Metazoa, Chordata, Amphibia, Anura, Pelobatidae. The record is from the annotation of a GenBank genome assembly.